UUAUGUUGUCGUGGUGUGACAUAAUAGCUAAGAACCAGUACAGUAGAACAAAAUUGUCGGUACUGCUAAACAGAAUGACUUCAUAUUUGUUCAGCAGCUUGACAGUGAUGAGUUGUAACGUGUGAUCACUUUUCGGGUCUGCUAGACACCUCCCUCAUGUUUGCCGAUACUUCGAUUUUUUCAAUAUGUUGAAUGAAGUCUCACUUUUCUGCAGUCCUCCAGAACAUAAGUCUACCGUUUAGCAGUGAUGACUUGUAACAAGUUAGCACUUUUCCGGAUUUUUUCAGACACCUGCUUCCUAUUUUCCGAUACUUCGAGUUACGAGAAGGGGUAUGCUUAGCUCGACAACUAGUGUAUUCUUGUUACAGGUUAGAAAAAUUUGAUAAAAUUGGAAAUGACGACAUAUGGAAUGCUUAAAUUCAGAAUUAAAAAUGAAAUGACCAACUGAUAAAGCAACUGUAAGGUGAUCUACCUGAUAAACAGCAAGGGAGCCAUUUUGAUACGAGGUUACCGACAAGUAUAAAUAUUGUUAUUUGUAUAUAAAAAAAGAGGCGGUAGAUACCAUGGAAACAUUCAAAACUCAUAUGUCGAAAAAAAACUGACAACGCCAUAGUAAAAUAAACUCGAAAGUCGACUUAGGGACAAAACAUUACACAAAACACUACAUAGAAAACUGAAGAGCAACAAGAACCCUGCCAAAAAGCCGGGAGAUGAUCGCAGAUGCUCCGAAAGGGUAAGCAGAUGUUCUAACGGCGCCCGUCAUGUUGAUCAUGGCAAGUCCACAUUUGGUUAUGUAACAAUCGAGAAAAAGAGGAAUACAAUCUAUGAUAAUUAUAGGUGACAGAUUGGAUAUAUCGUACGAAAAAACAUGAUAUCAAGGGAUGGGGCAAUAAAAAAAAGUCGUGGAAGGACAUACAGCACCGUGGUUAUAUAAUAAAUAAGCUUAGAAUAGCCGUAGAAGGACAUAUAUCACCGUGGUUAUAAAAAAGAAUAGCCGUGGAAGGACAUAUAGCACCGUGGUUAUAUAUUAAAAAAGAAUAGCCGUGGAAGGACACACAGCACUGUGGAUAUAUAAUUAAAAAAAAAGAAUAGCCGUGGAAGGACAUACAGCACCGUGGUUAUAUAAUAAAAAAGAAUAGCCGUGGAAGGACAUACAGCACCGUGGUUAUAUAAUAAAAAAAGAAUAGCCGUGGAAGGACAUACAGCACCGUAGUUAUAUAAUAAAAAAGAAUAGCCGUGGAAGGACAUACAGCACCGUGGUUAUAAAAUAAAAAAAAGAAUAGCCGUGAAAGGACAUACAGCACCGUGGUUAUAUAAUAAAUAGGAAUAGCCGUGGAAGGACACACAGCACCGUGGUUAUCAUAAUAAAAAAAAGAAUAGCCGUGGAAGGAUAUACAGCACCGUGGUUAUAUAAUAAAAAAAGAAUAGCCGUGGAAGGACAUACAGCACCGUGGUUAUGUAAUAAAAAAAGAAUAGCGGUGGAAGGACACACAGCACCGUGGUUAUAUAAUAAAUAAGAAUAGCCGUGGAAGGACACACAGCACCGUGGUUAUAUAAUAAAAAAAGAAUAGCGGUGGAAGGACACACAGCACCGUGGUUAUAUAAUAAAUAAGAAUAGCCGUGGAAGGACACACAGCACCGUGGUUAUAUAAUAAAUAAGAAUAGCCGUGGAAGGACACACAGCACCGUGGUUAUCAUAAUAAAAAAAGAAUAGCCGUGGAAGGAUAUACAGCACCGUGGUUAUAUAAUAAAAAAAGAAUAGCCGUGGAAGGACAUACAGCACCGUGGUUAUAUAAUAAAAAAAGAAUAGCGGUGGAAGGACACACAGCACCGUGGUUAUAUAAUAAAAAAAGAAUAGCGGUGGAAGGACACACAGCACCGUGGUUAUAUAAUAAAUAAGAAUAGCCGUGGAAGGACACACAGCACCCUGGUUAUGUAAUAAAAAAAGAAUAUCUAUGGAAGGACAUACAGCACCGUGGUUAUAUAAUUAAAAAAAAAGAAUAGCCGUGGAAGGACAUACAGCACCGUGGUUAUAUAAUAAAUAAGAAUAGCCGUGGAAGGACACACAGCACCGUGCCGGGUUAUAUAAUAAAAAAAAAAAGAAUAGCCGUGGAAGGACAUACAGCACCGUGGUUAUGUAAUAUAAAAGAAUAGCCGUGGAAGGACACAAAGUACCGUGGAUAUAUAACAAAAAAGAAGACGAAAGGUCAAACAACAGUACACACCUGGUGAUAAUCAGAAUCUUACUGCUAUUUACAAUCGAGAAGUAUAGUCUCCAUAAAUUCCUCUUUAACCGAUUUUACUGUAUGGCUUAAGCUGUUGCGUUAAAUUUUAUGAUAUUUAGUAUAUUACAUAUAUGUCAAACAAGUGAACAACAUUUAGGGGACUGCUACCUAAAAAUAAAAUUAUGUAAACGAACUUUUGGGUCCAAUGAAUAGGAAAUAUGUUUACAACGGAUUUUUCCGAGAGAGAUAUCAUUUAUUUUCUGUGAACAGCUUGUGAGUCGUAAAUUAAUGAUUACAGAUUUUGGAUUUAUUGUUCCAGAGUUAUAUAUGAUCAUAUAUUACGGAUUACAAUAUGUCGAGUUUUGUGAUUGGAUAACAACACAGAGAUGUCAGUAUAUAUUCAGGAAACUGCCGGGGUAUAUACGAUGUGUUUUACCCCAAUUGGAACCUCAUCAACGUCAUCAUCACGAACGUUAAUAUUAAGUACUAUGUGACGUAGUCUUGGGCUAUAUAGAUCACACAAAGAACGUCAGAGGCUCACAGAGGGAAAAUAUUGACGUGUAUCCGUCAAUAAUACGUUUUUAAUUUAAAACCACGCGAUUUACACAUCAAAUACUUAACUAAUGUUCUAAAGUGUUAUUAUAAAUUAUUGCAUACACGAUAGAAUUAUUUUCACAUCAAAUUACAAAUCUUCACGUAUGCGGAAAACUGAUAUAUAUACUGUGGGUGAAUGUUUAACAAAUAACUGGUACUGGAAAAAUAUUAAGGCAAGGGUAAUCCGUUUAUACCUUGUUCCCGAUUUUGUCGUUGCCUCUCGUCUGUUUCUUGUUUGUAUUUUUGUUUCUAUCUUGUUCCUGUUGUAUUGUUGUCUCUCAUCUGUUUCUUGUUUGUAUAUUCGUUUCAACCUUGUUCCCCGUUUUUUCGUCGCCUCUCGUCUGUUGGUUUUUUGUAUAUUUAUUUAUUUAUCGUUCUCGGUUUUGUCCUUGCCUCUCGUUUAUUGUUUGUAAAU
Mytilus californianus (California mussel) is the source of this 3234-nucleotide long non-coding RNA. RefSeq lists it as uncharacterized. The record is from RefSeq and is a predicted model, not a curated record. The transcript has 3 exons. Lineage: Eukaryota; Metazoa; Mollusca; Bivalvia; Mytilida; Mytilidae.